CCUACGGGAGGCAGCAGUGAGGAAUAUUGGUCAAUGGCCGGAAGGCUGAACCAGCCAUGCCGCGUGAAGGUCAGUGCCCUAUGGGCGUUAAACUUCUUUUGUGCGGGAGCAAUAAUGGUCACGUGUGGCCAGACGAGAGUACCGUACGGAUAAGCAUCGGCUAACUCCGUGCCAGCAGCCGCGGUAAUACGGGGGAUGCAAGCGUUAUCCGGAUUUACUGGGGGUAAAGGGGGCGGAGACGGUCCUGCAAGCCAGAUGUGAAAGCCCCGGGGUCAACCCCGGGAGUGCAUUUGGAACUGUAAGGCUAGAGUGGCGGAGAGGCACGCGGAAUUCCUAGUGUAGCGGUGAAAUGCGUAGAUAUUAGGCGGAACCCCAGUGGCGAAGGCGGCCUGCUGGACGAUGACUGACGUUGAGGCUCGAAAGCGUGGGGAGCAAACAGGAUUAGAUACCCCUGUAGUC
RNAcentral lists this ribosomal RNA (459 nucleotides) under uncultured bacterium. RNAcentral's name for it is "partial 16S ribosomal RNA". It matches the Rfam family "Bacterial small subunit ribosomal RNA", at positions 338 to 795 of the family's 1533-position model. The record is from RNAcentral.